UAUGUACUCCCUCCGUUCCGAAUUACUUGUCUUAGAUUUGUCUAGAUACGGAGAUAUCUAGCACUAAAAUGAGUCUAGAUCCGUAUCUAGACAAAUUCAAGACAAGCAAUUCGGAACGGAGGGAAUAGUUC
Non-coding RNA from Triticum urartu, 131 nucleotides. The record is from Rfam. NCBI's taxonomy places the organism in Eukaryota, Viridiplantae, Streptophyta, Magnoliopsida, Poales, Poaceae.